UAAUGAUUAUGGGGACAACUCAAUAACAAUCCCUUGAAGCGUUUCCAUGCUUGAGGGAAGCCUCCCUUUUCCUUUCUACUUGAACCCUAAAAUUUCAGUUCUAAACUA
Non-coding RNA from Solanum tuberosum (potato), 108 nucleotides. Lineage: Eukaryota; Viridiplantae; Streptophyta; Magnoliopsida; Solanales; Solanaceae. The record is from Rfam.